UGGGGAAUAUUGCGCAAUGGCCGCAAGGCUGACGCAGCGACGCCGCGUGUGGGAUGACGGCCUUCGGGUUGUAAACCACUGUCGGGAGGGACGAAUACCAGGCGGCGAAUAGCCGACCUGGGGUGACGGUACCUCCAAAGGAAGCACCGGCUAACUCCGUGCCAGCAGCCGCGGUAAUACGGAGGGUGCGAGCGUUGUCCGGAAUCACUGGGCGUAAAGGGCGCGUAGGCGGCUCGUUAAGUGGCUGGUGAAAUCCCGGGGCUCAACUCCGGGGCUGCCGGUCAGACUGGCGGGCUGGAGCACGGUAGAGGCGGAUGGAAUUCCCGGUGUAGCGGUGGAAUGCGUAGAUAUCGGGAAGAAUACCGGUGGCGAAGGCGUUCCGCUGGGCCGUUGCUGACGCUGAGGCGCGACAGCGUGGGGAGCAAACAGG
Molecule: ribosomal RNA, 430 nt
Filed under: uncultured bacterium
Lineage: Bacteria
Description: bacterial SSU rRNA
Rfam family: Bacterial small subunit ribosomal RNA
Source: RNAcentral